Fundulus heteroclitus (mummichog) is the source of this 303-nucleotide long non-coding RNA. RefSeq lists it as uncharacterized. The transcript is spliced from 3 exons. Lineage: Eukaryota; Metazoa; Chordata; Actinopteri; Cyprinodontiformes; Fundulidae. The record is from RefSeq and is a predicted model, not a curated record.
CUGGAUAUCCUUGCCUCCUAUGCACCGAACCACCACACUGCUCCUCCAGCAGUCCUCCUGGCUCACCUGCUUGUCCACCCUUCAACAAUUCACUGAUCAACAACUCCAACCUGGAAAAGAAGGACAAAAGAAGACAAUGACUAACUCCACCAAUGACAAAGCUCCUUCCUAGCUCAACCUGUGUGGAUAUACUCAGCACAUCUGCACCAAGGCGCUUUUUUCUUGAGGCAGACGCCACAUUGUUCACCUCCUACAAGUGGUAAUCAGAUUGUCUUCUUCUUUAGAUCUAAUAUUCCUGGAGUU